UGGCACUAUUGAGAGGUGUGGUCUUACUG
This 29-nucleotide non-coding RNA is filed under the name Cricetulus griseus (Chinese hamster). Lineage: Eukaryota; Metazoa; Chordata; Mammalia; Rodentia; Cricetidae. The record is from RNAcentral.